Molecule: small RNA, 876 nt
Filed under: Vigna angularis var. angularis
Lineage: Eukaryota; Viridiplantae; Streptophyta; Magnoliopsida; Fabales; Fabaceae
Description: Non-protein coding transcript
Source: RNAcentral
UUACGCGAUUUCGGUUUUCGUUUCUCUCCAAAACUCUGAUCAUAUUUUUUUUUUAAACGUGUCAAUCUUCCCUGCUCUCUUCACCACCCAGCACCUCCGUCCCCGCCUCAUCUCGUUCUCCAUCACUAUGUCCCCCCUUUUGUUCUCCUUCCUCUCACUCACGCUCCCAUUGAUGUGGUGAGUGAAGCACUAAAAUCGGCUAAGAUGAGUUCGCUUAUUGUACCACCUUGAGCCAAAACCCUUUUCAAGACACUUUUCGGGUUACGAUCCUUCUUCUUGCACUUUAGAAAAUCCAAGUUCUCAGAGUGGCACCGGAUCCCAAUGUGCUUCCAUGAUGCCAUCAACACCGACGACGAUGGGAUUGGAUUUCCCGAGGCAUCUACCGCGCUCGCCAUGUGCUGUUCGAUACUUGAUAGCCACAACAAAAAAGAGAAAACGCAAUUCGAUCAGUGUCGUUAAGUUCCUGAAAAAACGAAAGUAAAUUACUGAGAAAAUGGGGGAAAAGAGAAAAUGGAGAACGGAAAGAUAUUUACGACAUUGCCCUUACCCGUGGUUGUUGGAAAGCGGUGGUUCUGGCUUCUUCAAGAAUCUGAAUUCGAAGGGAGAAACCCAGGCAGUAUAAACUACCCAGAAUAAUAAGGAAAGUUUCCCAUAUCCUGCAAAAUCCACAAAUUUUAUUUACCUAAUACUAGUGUUACUCAUCUGCGUUGGAAAACACAGAAAAGAAAAAUAUUUUUAUACACGAAAUUUCAGUUUUAGUUACAGAGUCAACAACAAAACAUAUUUAUAAGAAAUUUUGAAUUAUCUCUUGACACUUAUUUUCAGUGGAACAUUGCAUGCACAACAAUCACCAUAUUCUAGUUGUUUCAAAUUCAG